This 260-nucleotide long non-coding RNA is filed under the name Gossypium barbadense (sea-island cotton). Its description in RNAcentral is "long non-coding RNA (GBAR_LNC003293)". The record is from RNAcentral. Lineage: Eukaryota; Viridiplantae; Streptophyta; Magnoliopsida; Malvales; Malvaceae.
AUUUGUGUAUUUUGAUGUUUUAUGUUAUAAUAUGGGGUUUUAAAUUAUGUUAGACAACUUGUACUACUCGAUUUUAAGCAAAAACGAGUAAAAGGGCUUAAUCGGUAAAAAUACCUAAUAGUCACAAGUACAUGUUAGAGUGAGAAUUUGAUGUUGCCAUAGAAGAGAAAAGCGAUCAGCAUGUUGUAAAACAUAAGAAUAAGGAAUAAAUUUUAAUCCCGAGCCUAGGGGCAAAAAUGUAAAUAUGCAAAAGUUUAGAG